GAUGAACGCUAGCGGCAGGCUUAACACAUGCAAGUCGAGGGGUAUUGGUUUUCGGACCAAGAGACCGGCGCACGGGUGCGUAACGCGUAUGCAAUCUACCUUUUGCAGAGGGAUAGCCCAGAGAAAUUUGGAUUAAUACCUCAUAGUAUAGUACUUUGGCAUCAAGGAACUAUUAAAGUCACAACGGCAAAGAUGAGCAUGCGUCCCAUUAGCUAGUUGGUAAGGUAACGGCUUACCAAGGCUACGAUGGGUAGGGGUCCGUGAGAGGGAGAUCUCCCACACUGGUACUGAGACACGGACCAGACUCCUACGGGAGGCAGCAGUGAGGAAUAUUGGACAAUAGGGCGGCGAAGCCUCGAUCCAGCCAUGCCGCGUGCAGGAUGACGGUCCUAUGGAUUGUAACUGCUUUAUACAGGAAGAAACACUCCGACGUGUCGGAGGCUUGACGGUACUGUAAGAAUAAGGAU
Molecule: ribosomal RNA, 467 nt
Filed under: uncultured bacterium
Lineage: Bacteria
Description: bacterial SSU rRNA
Rfam family: Bacterial small subunit ribosomal RNA
Source: RNAcentral